CGGCGCGGCCCGUGAGGGCGGCGGGGGCUCGGUCGGGCCGGGCUCGGGACACUGGGAGCACCGGAGGUCCUUCCCGAGCGGCGGCGGAGCCGGGACACCGCCUCCCUGAGCCGCUCCCCUCGCACAGCCCCAGUUACCGAGACACCCAACAAUGGCUCCCGGGGAGCAGUGGCACCCACCGAAGCUGGUGACAGCGUAGAGAAGCAGCCCUUGUCCACCAGAUCUUUUUCGAGCUCUGCUGGUGAUGUCAGGAGUCCGUAUGUGGCGACAUCCUCAUCCGUUGUGUAAUUAAAGGUGAU
Molecule: long non-coding RNA, 299 nt
Filed under: Parus major (Great Tit)
Lineage: Eukaryota; Metazoa; Chordata; Aves; Passeriformes; Paridae
Description: lncRNA (ENSPMJG00000006945.1)
Source: RNAcentral